RNAcentral lists this ribosomal RNA (876 nucleotides) under Staphylococcus hominis. RNAcentral describes it as "bacterial SSU rRNA". It matches the Rfam family "Bacterial small subunit ribosomal RNA", at positions 56 to 914 of the family's 1533-position model. The record is from RNAcentral. Lineage: Bacteria; Bacillati; Bacillota; Bacilli; Caryophanales; Staphylococcaceae.
UGCAGUCGAGCGAACAGACGAGGAGCUUGCUCCUUUGACGUUAGCGGCGGACGGGUGAGUAACACGUAGGUAACCUACCUAUAAGACUGGGAUAACUUCGGGAAACCGGAGCUAAUACCGGAUAAUAUUUCGAACCGCAUGGUUCGAUAGUGAAAGAUGGCUUUGCUAUCACUUAUAGAUGGACCUGCGCCGUAUUAGCUAGUUGGUAAGGUAACGGCUUACCAAGGCAACGAUACGUAGCCGACCUGAGAGGGUGAUCGGCCACACUGGAACUGAGACACGGUCCAGACUCCUACGGGAGGCAGCAGUAGGGAAUCUUCCGCAAUGGGCGAAAGCCUGACGGAGCAACGCCGCGUGAGUGAUGAAGGUCUUCGGAUCGUAAAACUCUGUUAUUAGGGAAGAACAAACGUGUAAGUAACUGUGCACGUCUUGACGGUACCUAAUCAGAAAGCCACGGCUAACUACGUGCCAGCAGCCGCGGUAAUACGUAGGUGGCAAGCGUUAUCCGGAAUUAUUGGGCGUAAAGCGCGCGUAGGCGGUUUUUUAAGUCUGAUGUGAAAGCCCACGGCUCAACCGUGGAGGGUCAUUGGAAACUGGAAAACUUGAGUGCAGAAGAGGAAAGUGGAAUUCCAUGUGUAGCGGUGAAAUGCGCAGAGAUAUGGAGGAACACCAGUGGCGAAGGCGACUUUCUGGUCUGUAACUGACGCUGAUGUGCGAAAGCGUGGGGAUCAAACAGGAUUAGAUACCCUGGUAGUCCACGCCGUAAACGAUGAGUGCUAAGUGUUAGGGGGUUUCCGCCCCUUAGUGCUGCAGCUAACGCAUUAAGCACUCCGCCUGGGGAGUACGACCGCAAGGUUGAAACUCAAAGGAAUUGCG